RNAcentral lists this long non-coding RNA (542 nucleotides) under Lupinus angustifolius (narrow-leaved blue lupine). RNAcentral's name for it is "long non-coding RNA (LANG_LNC002459)". The record is from RNAcentral. Lineage: Eukaryota; Viridiplantae; Streptophyta; Magnoliopsida; Fabales; Fabaceae.
CGUGAUAAAGUGGCAUCAUACUAACAUCUUUGGUUCAAAAUAAUCAUAUAUGAAGAAAUCUUUAAACAUUUAUACAUUUAUUACUAUUGUUACAAUUGGUAUGCCAUUCAACCCCCUAACAAAAUCAAAAUUACACAAAUCCAAAUGCGUAGUACUUCAAUCUAGAUGAGUACUACAGUAGUUGAGAAGAAGCUAUGCUCAGAUCCACUGUUAUUACCUCUUUCAACCUUCAUUAAAUUCAACUAGGAAUGAAAAGCAAGUGCAAACAUAUGGGUUGUUGGUAAAUUUGCAUAUAGACCCAUAUGAAUUAUUGGACUGAAUUGAUCCCAACAUUGUACCAAUGAUGUAGACAUUAAUCUGUUAACAUAAAAGGAAGGAAUGUUACUUAAGAGGAAUAAUUUCCUUCUUAGAAACAUUACUUGAAUAUCUACUAAGAAAGUGAUACAAGUGAAAAACCAGAGAAGAAUAAGAAGAUAGUAAUAUUGGCAACACAUCAAGGUUGCCAUGAAAAUUGAAGAAUGCAUACAAAUCUAUCAUUAAUG